RNAcentral lists this ribosomal RNA (769 nucleotides) under uncultured bacterium. RNAcentral describes it as "bacterial SSU rRNA". It matches the Rfam family "Bacterial small subunit ribosomal RNA", at positions 74 to 834 of the family's 1533-position model. The record is from RNAcentral.
GGGUAGCAAUACCCCGAGUAAAGCGGCGAACGGGUGAGUAACAGGUGGGUAACGUGCCUCGAAGUGGGGGAUAACCCGGCGAAAGCCGAGCUAAUACCGCAUGUGGCUGUUUGGACGUCAAGUGCGAACAGUUAAAGAUGCAAAUCGCUUCGAGAUCGGCCCGCCCCCGAUUAGCUAGUUGGUGAGGUAACGGCUCACCAAGGCUUCGAUCGGUAGCUGGUCUGAGAGGAUGGUCAGCCACACUGGGACUGAGAUACGGCCCAGACUCCUACGGGGGGCAGCAGUCUAGAGGCUUCGGCAAUGGGGGCAACCCUGACCGAGCGACGCCGCGUGUGGGAUUGAAGGCGUUUACGUCGUAAACCACUGCUUGAGGGGAAGAAUGCCCGAAUGGCGAAUUCGGGAGAGACGGUACUCUCAAAGAAAGCCCCGGCUAACUCCGUGCCAGCAGCCGCGGUAAUACGGGGGGGGCAAGCGUUGUUCGGAUUUACUGGGCGUAAAGGGAGCGUAGGCUGUCGGUCAAGUCCGGUGUGAAACCCUUACCGCUUACCGGAAGGACGGCACUGGAUACUGGCCGGCUAGAGUGGGGUAGAGGCAAGCGGAAUUCCUGGUGUAGCGGUGGAAUGUGCAGAUAUCAGGAAGAACAUCUGUGGCGAAGGCGGCUUGCUGGGCCCUUACUGACGCUGAGGCUCGAAAGCGUGGGGAGCAAACGGGAUUAGAUACCCCGGUAGUCCACGCCUUAAACGGUGCGCACUAGGUGUGGGAGGUAUCG